CAUUGCCCCAGUUGCAGUGCUGGUCACAACUGCCACUCAGUUCUGAUUCCUGGCCUGGGGAACACGAUAUGCAAUGGGACAGCCAAAAAAGAAAAAAAAAAAAAGGUAAUUCCAUUGUCUCUGGCUUUCAUAACUUCAGACAAGAAGUCUGCAGUCACACUUUACCUUUGUUUUUCUGUGCAUACUGCUUUUUCCCUUGCUGCUUUUAAGAUUUUUCUCUUUAUCACUGGUUUUCAGCAACUUGAUUACAAUACAGUUUCCUAUGAAUUUUUGUAUAUGUUGGUUUAAUCCUGCUUGGGAUUCACUGAGCUUCUUGGAUCUCUGUCCUAGCAUUUUUACCAAAUUUAGAAAAGUGUUCACCAUUGUCUUAGUAUUAUUAUUUCUUUUUUCUUUCUUUUUUUUUGCCAUGCCCACAGUAUGCAGAAAUUCCUGGGCCAGGGAUAGAAUACAUGCCACAGCAGUGGCCUAAGCCACAGCAGUGACAAUGCCAGAUCCUUAACUGCUAGGCCACCAGAAAACUCUAAGCAUCAUUUCUUAGAUGCUUAGUAUUCCAAAAAGAUCUAACAUUUUUGGAUCUCCUUUUCUGCAUGACUCCCUCUUGGAGUGGGUUAUUCCUCAUACCUUUCAGCUGCCUCAGCCUCCCUGACCUACAAUCUCUCCUCUACUCUAUGAGACCACUGUGCUGUAUUUGGGACCCCCCAUCCCCAUCCAGUCCCCCACUCCAUGACUCAGAAUAUGCUUCCAAAUAAAAACCUAAGUGAUGAAAGAGCUCAUCUCAUGUGUCUCUCUCCCCUCAGAGACCACAAUCCUGUACUAGCUCUAGUCCAGUAUCAGAGAAUAGCUGUUUCAUACACUGUAUAUAGUUUCUAGUUAGUUACAGUGGCAAGAUAAAUUGGCCCCUAUCACUUCAUCAUGGAUUAAAACAGAAGUCCAUUUAUGCUUUUUUUUUUUCUUUUAUGGCUGUACCCACAGCAUAUGGAAGUUCCCGGGCCUGGGAUCAAAUCUGCGGUAAUGCAAGAUCCUUAACCAAUUGGACCAGGUUGGAGAUUAGACGCACACCACUGAGAGACAACAAUGGAUCCCUAACUCACUGCACCACAGUGGGAACGCCUUAUUUAUGCUCUUUUGAAAAUCCAUUACUGACAACUUUGGGGAGGCAGUGGAAAGUAAACAUGUGUUCAAUCUACCACAUUUAGCUGCAAAUACACUUCAAUUUUUAAAAGUGUAAAUAAAAUAUAGUAGUUUUUAAAUAAUUAUCCCAAAACAGUGAGAGGGCUAAAAACUGUUUUCAACUUUUCACCAAAAUGUCUAUAUAGUCAGUUCAGUGAGAACUGACUUGAGCCAUAAUGUCAGGUUCCACAUCUAACUGUUUUCUUUACUUCCUUUCAGACAGAUCCCUUGAUAAAAGAAUUUUGCCUGGACUUGUUUGGCUUUCUCUCCAAACCCAAUAUUUAUCAUUAACUCAGCUUAAGCUGGUUGGUCAAGUGUCUUCACAGUAAUAUGGCUUGAUUUUGUGAUUUUGCUCUAAGAAGUAUAACUCUGAACAAUACUUUUGAGUUUCAGUCUCCUCUUUGCCUUUACUGACAAAAUUAAUCUGUUUCCUACACAAUAACAUGUCAUUUGACUUACCAGGGAGGUAACCAUACUUUGACUAAAAAUUGCGUCAAAGAAAAAAGUGUCACAAGAAACACUACCCUUAGGAGCCAUUAUAACAAAGUCCCAUGAAGUCCAAUUUUCAAACAUUCAGCACUGUAUUUCUUAUUGGAAUGUCCCUUUUUCAGCUACUGUACCAAAUCAACACUCUUACAGAUUACUCUGUCCCAGCUCACACAUAUUCAUGGUGUCCACUGACACUGUGGCCCAAUUCAGCAUUGACACUUACAUAAUUAUUCUGUACUGCACUACUUACAAUACUAUCUUCAUCAUUAAUUUUACUCUUUGAUGAACUACUUCUGAAUCACAAGAAAUUUAAUGCAGCACAAAAGUAACAACAAAGAUGUAGUUUUACAACUAUCCUGACAUGAAACACAUUAUCCAAAAUAAUCUAUAACUGAUAACUGAAAUUAGCUCUGAUGAACUGACAGAUACAGCCCUUUCAGUGAACAAACAACUAUUAAGAAGGUAAUAGGGAGUUCCCAUUGUGGCUCAGUGGGUGAUGAAUCCAACUAGGAACCACGAGGUUGUGGGUUCAAUCCCUGGCCUUGCUCAGUGGGUUAAGGAUCUGCGUUGCGUGAGCUGUG
Molecule: long non-coding RNA, 2240 nt
Filed under: Sus scrofa (pig)
Lineage: Eukaryota; Metazoa; Chordata; Mammalia; Artiodactyla; Suidae
Description: lncRNA (ENSSSCG00025033356.1)
Source: RNAcentral